RNAcentral lists this long non-coding RNA (1251 nucleotides) under Sus scrofa (pig). Its description in RNAcentral is "lncRNA (ENSSSCG00070006619.1)". The record is from RNAcentral. Lineage: Eukaryota; Metazoa; Chordata; Mammalia; Artiodactyla; Suidae.
AUGCUGGCCAGGCCUCACUUUUGGAAGUAUCUCCUGGGCCACCAUGAGCCCAGAGCUCAGGCACGGUUGGUUCUCAGCUACAGCCCAGUGAGAAAGCGGCUCAGGAGGAAGAGGAAGAGGACCAGGCAGUGGCCGGGGGCCAGCUCCCCAAGGCCCACACCAAGGGCUCCACCCAGCCAGUCGCCACCCCUUCUCCCCAGAAUUCAGGGAGCAGGCACAGCAAGGAUAGGCACCAAUCUGCAGGAAAGGGGUGCAUGUGUCCCCACUGUUACUGCAGCCGGGCUGGUGCUGCCCUGGGCUCAGGGUAGCCAGUCCCAGGGGACCCCACGCCCCACGCCCCCAAGGGCAAGCAGGACUCACCUGAAAAAAGCCAGGACCCGCCCCCUGGCCCACCACUUCUCAGCCUGGGCCUGCUGGCUGGGAGGGGAGGGAGGCAGGCACAGUCUGGUCUGGAGGCUUCUAGAAGCUGCUCACCUGGAGCGGAGGCAGAGCCAGGCCAAGUGGAGUCUAGCGCCAGAGGGGGGACAGAGGCCCCCAGGCACCACCUCGUCCCCUCAGCACAGCAGGCACCCCUCCGGCCCGAAUCACCCAGAGGCUGCUGCCCCCUCCCCGGGCCAGUGCCCCAGGAGGAAACAGCCCCGCCUCCCAUCCUUUCCAAACCCUGCCUGGCCAGGGGGCCCCAGGGGAGAGGGGCCUCGGAGCCCAGCCCAGCUAACCAAGAGUCCCCGUCCCCGCCCCAGAGGCCACAGCACCCCCAAGCAGCCACGAGGCACGUGGCUCAGCAAGGGGAAAAGAGGCCAGCCUGGGGGGCGGGGAGGGACAGGGCCCCCAGGACAGAGCAGGCCUGAGCCUGAGGUCCACCCACACAAUGGGCAGGAGGGAGGGAGCCUAGGAUGCCAGGCACCCGGCUGGGGGCAAAGGGCCUGGGACCCGCGCCCUUGCCCCGAGGCAAUCCCCCAGAGGACGCCCCGCCACCAGCCGCCAGGAGGAGUCCGGGAGGUGCGCCCCGGCCCUGGCCCUCAGCCGGGCUCCCACGCAGGGCCACCCACCCAGAGCCCUGCUCACCAACGGGUGCCAGGCGCAGAGGAGAGGGGCCUGGCACACGCGCCCUCCCCAGGGGGCCCCAACAGCCCCUACUCAGUGUGUGGAGGGGAUGGCUGGUGGCCCCAGGAGGCAGCAGCCCCCAUCCUGCAGGUCCCCUCUGGUCUAGUGGGGGCGCGGGGCAGGGGGAGGGCGGAGCCCCCAGACUGA